This 137-nucleotide small nucleolar RNA is filed under the name Huiozyma naganishii CBS 8797. RNAcentral describes it as "Kazachstania naganishii CBS 8797 Small nucleolar RNA snR190". It matches the Rfam family "Small nucleolar RNA snR190". Lineage: Eukaryota; Fungi; Ascomycota; Saccharomycetes; Saccharomycetales; Saccharomycetaceae. The record is from Rfam by way of RNAcentral.
GGCAACGAUGAAAACAUCCUCCUUCUUUCCCAGUCCGACUCGACCAUGACGAUAGGGAUUGUGUUACGCAUUGCUAUUUACGAAUAGCAAGCUUUACUUGCCAGUGUAAUUUAUUACACUACUUAAGAUUCUGAGCC